Molecule: ribosomal RNA, 497 nt
Filed under: uncultured bacterium
Lineage: Bacteria
Description: partial 16S ribosomal RNA
Rfam family: Bacterial small subunit ribosomal RNA
Source: RNAcentral
GAUGAACGCUGGCGGCGUGCCUAAUACAUGCAAGUCGAGCGAACGGACGAGAAGCUUGCUUCUCUGAUGUUAGCGGCGGACGGGUGAGUAACACGUGGAUAACCUACCUAUAAGACUGGGAUAACUUCGGGAAACCGGAGCUAAUACCGGAUAAUAUUUUGAACCGCAUGGUUCAAAAGUGAAAGACGGUCUUGCUGUCACUUAUAGAUGGAUCCGCGCUGCAGUAGCUAGUUGGUAAGGUAACGGCUUACCAAGGCAACGAUGCAUAGCCGACCUGAGAGGGUGAUCGGCCACACUGGAACUGAGACACGGUCCAGACUCCUACGGGAGGCAGCAGUAGGGAAUCUUCCGCAAUGGGCGAAAGCCUGACGGAGCAACGCCGCGUGAGUGAUGAAGGUCUUCGGAUCGUAAAACUCUGUUAUUAGGGAAGAACAUAUGUGUAAGUAACUGUGCACAUCUUGACGGUACCUAAUCAGAAAGCCACGGCUAACUACGUG